GUGGUGCAUGGUUGUCGUCAGCUCGUGUCGUGAGAUGUUGGGUUAAGUCCCGCAACGAGCGCAACCCUUAAGCUUAGUUGCCAUCAUUAAGUUGGGCACUCUAAGUUGACUGCCGGUGACAAACCGGAGGAAGGUGGGGAUGACGUCAAAUCAUCAUGCCCCUUAUGAUUUGGGCUACACACGUGCUACAAUGGACAAUACAAAGGGCAGCGAAACCGCGAGGUCAAGCAAAUCCCAUAAAGUUGUUCUCAGUUCGGAUUGUAGUCUGCAACUCGACUACAUGAAGCUGGAAUCGCUAGUAAUCGUAGAUCAGCAUGCUACGGUGAAUACGUUCCCGGGUCUUGUACACACCGCCCGUCACACCACGAGAGUUUGUAACACCCGAAGCCGGUGGAGUAACCUUUUAGGAGCUAGCCGUCGAAGGUGGGACAAAUGAUUGGGGUGAAGUCGUAACAAGGUAGCCGUAU
Molecule: ribosomal RNA, 467 nt
Filed under: Staphylococcus aureus
Lineage: Bacteria; Bacillati; Bacillota; Bacilli; Caryophanales; Staphylococcaceae
Description: bacterial SSU rRNA
Rfam family: Bacterial small subunit ribosomal RNA
Source: RNAcentral